Molecule: long non-coding RNA, 2295 nt
Filed under: Lupinus angustifolius (narrow-leaved blue lupine)
Lineage: Eukaryota; Viridiplantae; Streptophyta; Magnoliopsida; Fabales; Fabaceae
Description: long non-coding RNA (LANG_LNC000017)
Source: RNAcentral
UCUUGGACAAAAACCUUAAGAUAUUAAUUUCAUAGGUCUUUCCUUCUUAUAAAUUUGUUCACUUCUCCCGCAUAUCCAAGGUGAGAUUUGACUAUAAAUUUCCCUAACAUUUGUUUGUUUAAGAUGAGCAACCCGAUGGUUUAGUGGUUGGAGAUUGAGUGGUGCAUUUCACAGACAACAUAAAUUAAUCUAUACAUCUAAGUGCAGAACAACACUUUCCCAAAAUGGGUGGAUAUGAGGUUUUAGAUCUCUGAAAAUAAUAUUGAACAUACACCUGAAGAGUAAGGAAUAGUGGUACAAAGAGAAGAAGAACAAGAAGAAGAACACACAGAAACUAGAGAGAGAUGCUGACAGAAGAGAGUGAGCACACGCUUGUAGUGAUUGUAUGAGAGCAUUCAAUUGUGGGUGCGUGCUCACUUAUCUUUCUGUCAGGUUCUCAUCUUUUUCUUCUCUCUUUUCUGUUCUUUCCUCUCAUUUUAUGUCUUCACUCUUAUCAUUCUUUCUUCCUAGCUAGCUUCACCAUUAUUUAUAAACAUAUAUGUUUAUAUGUUUUUUUGGAAUUGUUAUGGAUGGUACUUUCCUUCAUGGAGGAGAACAGCAUACCCAAAUCGAUAUCAUCAAAUGUACGCCUUCUUAUUAUUAUUUUACUGUUCAUAUUCUAACACAAAAAGAAUGAUCAAUGAUUUUUUUCAGAAUCAAAUUAACCAUCGUUUUCCGUACUUGCCUCGAUCUUGUUCUGCUCCUCCCGUUCUUAUUUGUUGUUCUAAAAAGCAGCCAUUUCAGAGAAGCUACACUUUAUGGGUUUAAAUUCUUGUUAUUUCUUUGGUUUUGUUAUUCCCUUUAGAUAAUGAUUUUUGAUUAUUGAUAAAGAAACUAUUCUUUCGUGUAGGAUGAGGCCUGGCUAGAACUGUGGAAUCUAGACAAGAUGAGAUCUGGAAGCGUCUACGUGGAUACGCGAUAAUAUAAUAAUAUAGUCCAAUCAGUAUAUCAAGAAAUGUGUUAUACAAAAGUAUAUGAAAAAAUAUUAAAUGUUCAUUUCCUUAACAGAGAUUCCCAAUAUUUAUAUAAAAUUGGAACACGAAAUGAAAUAUUCUUUAGUAAAUAUUAUUGACUGCCUUUACAUACCACUAUUUGUAUAAUAGACCUGUCUCACAGCAUGGCAAAAGUUGGUAUAGAGUCCAGACGACUAUUCGAGCAUGAUCAACAAACAACUGCACAAGUCGAAAACUGAAAACUAUGAAAAUGCCAUGUCUUCGUUCCUUGAAUGUCGUGUCUUUUUUUACCUUUUCAGUGUUUCAGGUAAAGGAAACCUUAAGGAAAGUACUUCAAGAACCUAAAUAUGGCAAUGUUUUCUUCUUUCCUUUCUUGGGCAGACAUGAAUUUCUUUUCUACCCUGAUUGAAGGGAUUCAAGUAGCAACCUUUCUCAUACAGGUUAGAGAUUUUUCAAAUAAACUGAUUCUCUGAGAUUUUUCUACCUUACUUGAGAUAAUAUUUCGUUGUCUGCUUUGAUUACAGGAUUAUUCCAUUGUUCAUAGGAGUGGUCUGUGAGAUGAAAACCUCUUCAAAAUCUUAUCACAUAUAUUGAUGGGUGUUACCUCGAAAAUGCACACAGAAGCAUGAAUUUUUGUGCGGAAUAUUUAUCUGCUAAAUAUAAUUUCUCCAUUUCCACAACCGAUAGAGAUGUUGCAAUAUACGAGAAACAGAAAUUUUUUCAUGUUUACCAUGAAUCUUUGCUGCAAUUAAAUCAUGUGAUGACACUGAAAAACUUAUAACUGAGAGGGGUAACGAUCUGGAUGGUGUCAUGAAAUCAUGCAAGCUGAAGUUGUGUUUAUGUGUUAUUCUCCAUUUGGGGUCACUUUGAAUUGUCUCAUAGACACCACAAAAAUGCUGGUUUGGUAGUCAAUAUGAUAAUUUAGUGAUUAUUAAUCGGGUAUACAUCUGCUCUCCCACACUUUGUAUUACUCCAAGUCCCAUGGGCAUGUGAUUACUCAUGCAUCAACUUGAAUUACCUAUUAGCCGUAUACCUAAUGAAGCUGCCUUGGCAUAAUAGAUUUCAUGUUAGCUCACGAUUUAAUGGAUCCAAGUUCAAACUUUCGUUUUUCAAAUUGUAUGUAUUUGUUAGACAAAUCUGUGUAUUGAAGUUUCUAAAUAAGCCGCGUAUAUGGGAAUUAUAUGCUGUCCAUUUGUUGUAUUUGUGACUAUAUAUGUGUGUGUAUAAGCAAGUCCUUGUUAUUGUAAUGGUAAUGUUAUAUACCUGUGGUGAAUAAUGGUAAUGUCAGUAAUCUCAUAUUGAA